GACGAACGCUGGCGGCGUGCUUAACACAUGCAAGUCGAACGGAAAGGCCCUGCUUUUGUGGGGUGCUCGAGUGGCGAACGGGUGAGUAACACGUGAGUAACCUGCCCUUGACUUUGGGAUAACUUCAGGAAACUGGGGCUAAUACCGGAUAGGAGCUCCUGCUGCAUGGUGGGGGUUGGAAAGUUUCGGCGGUUGGGGAUGGAUUCGCGGCUUAUCAGCUUGUUGGUGGGGUAGUGGCUUACCAAGGCUUUGACGGGUAGCCGGCCUGAGAGGGUGACCGGCCACAUUGGGACUGAGAGACGGCCCAGACUCCAACGGGAGGCAACAGUGGGAAAUAUUGCACAAUGGGCGGAAGCCUGAUGCAACAACGCCGCGUGCGGAAUGACGGCCUUCGGGUUAAAAACCGCUUUCGCCUGAGACGAAGCGUGAGUGACGGUAAUGAAUAAAGAAGCACCGGCUAACUACGUG
This 468-nucleotide ribosomal RNA is filed under the name uncultured bacterium. Its description in RNAcentral is "partial 16S ribosomal RNA". It matches the Rfam family "Bacterial small subunit ribosomal RNA", at positions 28 to 507 of the family's 1533-position model. The record is from RNAcentral.